GACGAACGCUGGCGGCGUGCCUAAUACAUGCAAGUAGAACGCUGAAGCGAGGAGCUUGCUCUUCUUGGAUGAGUUGCGAACGGGUGAGUAACGCGUAGGUAACCUGCCUUGUAGCGGGGGAUAACUAUUGGAAACGAUAGCUAAUACCGCAUAACAAUGGAUGACACAUGUCAUUUAUUUGAAAGGGGCAAUUGCUCCACUACAAGAUGGACCUGCGUUGUAUUAGCUAGUAGGUGAGGUAACGGCUCACCUAGGCGACGAUACAUAGCCGACCUGAGAGGGUGAUCGGCCACACUGGGACUGAGACACGGCCCAGACUCCUACGGGAGGCAGCAGUAGGGAAUCGUCGGCAAUGGGGGCAACCCUGACCGAGCAACGCCGCGUGAGUGAAGAAGGUUGUCGGAUCGUAAAGCUCUGUUGUAAGUCAAGAACGAGUGUGAGAGUGGAAAGUUCACACUGUGACGGUAGCUUACCAGAAAGGGACGGCUAACUACGUG
RNAcentral lists this ribosomal RNA (497 nucleotides) under uncultured bacterium. RNAcentral's name for it is "partial 16S ribosomal RNA". It matches the Rfam family "Bacterial small subunit ribosomal RNA", at positions 28 to 507 of the family's 1533-position model. The record is from RNAcentral.